AAGCGCUUGCAGGUGCCAGAGCGUCAGCCCUGGAGGGGGAUGGUAUGGCUCUCCCCGCUACUCAGGUGUGGAAACUGCAGCUCAGAGAGAUUAGGCUCCCGUUCCGAGUAAAUGACGGGAUUGGGAUUCGGUUCCUCCUCCUCAUUAGGCUAAAGUCUGUGCUCUUUUGCCACCAAAGUUGGGAGUUGGUCGAGGAAAGCGUGAGCAGUGAUAAGUGGGCUUAGCGGUCGAGAGCAGGCUUCACGGACGACCGGAUCUGGAGACAAGUCCUGGGUCUGCUACUAACACUGUGACGCUCUCAAUAAGUCAUUUUCCCCAUCCCGAGACUUCGUUUCCUCGUCUGUAAAGUGGGAGUGAUAACAUGUUAUAGGAUCACAAUGAGAAAACUAUGGAUUUAGACCUACAAAAGGUCACAGAACGUGUAAGCCGCACUGUCAGGCGUCAAAGCCAUGUUUGUCCUGCAACAAGGCUCAAGCUCUUUGACCUCACGGCCCGUCGCGAGAGAAGCCACCUGGGAAGACACCAUCCAACUGACACACUUCAUUCAUUCAAUCCGCCAUUCAUUCAAUCAAUGAAUUUAGAUUUGGCCUUCACUGGGAACCGGCUCGGCAGUCACCCAACUGUUUAAACCAAGAACCUAGGUGCCAAUCUUGAGGUCAUCCUCUCUCCAGGGUCCCUUUAUCCAAUCUGAUUCAUCAACAAAUCCUGUCAAUCAUCUUCAGGUAGAUGCAGAAUGAAACAUCUAGAAUCCUUCCCUACUCACCACAGCUGCACCAUUACCAAGCUGAAGUCCCUCACACUCGCUGAAGGGUCUCCAAUCCAUCCUCUGCCCUCAGAGUUUGCGGUCCUCACUGCUAAUCUUGGAAAAACAUGCAUGACGAUUGGCUCAAUCUAGAGACCCUGAGAUCCUGACCUGAGCCGAAAUCUAGAGUCAGAGGCUUAACCAACUCAAUCACCCAGUAGC
Mustela erminea (ermine) is the source of this 964-nucleotide long non-coding RNA. RefSeq lists it as uncharacterized. The record is from RefSeq and is a predicted model, not a curated record. The transcript has 4 exons. NCBI's taxonomy places the organism in Eukaryota, Metazoa, Chordata, Mammalia, Carnivora, Mustelidae.